GAGAAGAGGGUCACAGAUGUCAGGUGGCUCCCCUCUGGGCCUCAGUUUCCCCAUCUGUAUAAGGGGAAGGCGGCCCACCUCUGGCACCCAUAAGGAGCGGAGAGUCCCUUUCCGGGAAUGGCUUCGAGCCCAGGAGGAUUAUCUGCCGUCAGAGUUCCCGGGAAUGCCUGGGGCCUGGUCCCCCCUGAGCCUCCAGCACACCCGGACCCAGGAGGGCUUGCGCUCUCCAAGCCUGGGGGCUGCAGCCGGAUGCCAGCGAGCCGCGAGGUCCCAGGAAGUUGGAGCGAAUUGGUUUCUUUGGUCCGUUUUUGUGUCUGAUUUCAUGCAUUACAGACCACCGUUGUGAGGCCGGAUCCCAGGGCCCCCCAGGGGUCCGGGACACCCCAGAUCUAGAACAUGGGGCCAAUUCUAAUAAGACGAAAUGUAAAGUCUUACACAAGGAUUUCAAAAGCCUAGUUGCAAGUCUGGGAUGAUUGGGCAACGAGCCUUUCUGAAGAGGAUCGGAGGGAGCUUAGUGGCCUGCAAGCUCAGUGGGAGUCAGGAAAGUGAUGAUGCGGCCAAUAAAGCGGAUGCAGAACGAGAAAGAUGGCGUCUGCUACGAGGGGAGUUGGUUUCCUUGCCCACAGACAGAAUGGACACUGAUAAAUCAGGGAGUGUCCAGAGGAGAGCAACCAAGGAUGGGGAAGGGUCCUGAGUCUCUGCAUCUUGGAGUAAUAAUAAUAGCUAGAAUUUACAUAGACUUUAAAGUCUGCAAAGAGUUUUAUGACCUCAUUUGUUCCUCACAACAAUCCUGAGGACUAGGAGCUAUUAUAAGCUCUAUUUUAUAGAAAAUAUAAACUGAGGCAGACGGCAGUGACGUGACUUGCCAAGAGUCACACACGUCUUAACCUUGGUGAGGCAGGACUUGAAUCCAGGUUUUCUCAGCUUGAAGCCAGUCCUUUACUCACUACUAGCACAGUGGGCAAACCAACGGGCCUGAAGCCAAGAGGUCCUGGCUUCAAAUCCCACUUUAGCCACUUUACUAGCUCUGUGACCCUGAGCAAGUUACUCAAUUUGCCUCAGUUUCUGCAUCUGUAAAAUGGGAAUACUCUCUCCCAGGAUUGUUGUGAGGGUCACAUGAGAUUAUACUUGUAAGGCACUUAGCCCAGCCUGGCUGGUGAUGGUUGUUGUUACUCCACAGUGUAUGAAAUAAAUCCCUGUCACUUUUGAUGAGGAUUAUCCUCUAAGCCUCAGUUUCCUGGGCUGUCACAGGCCAACUUGGAACCCGACUGUGACCGUUCAGCGCAGCUUUACAACGCAGACGCCCACGAGUGCCUCAGGUCGGGGUCUGGCUGUUUCACUGAUUUUCUAGACUCAAGACAGUGUUAACAACAGGUUAAACUUCAGACAGCUGGUUGUUAAAUAUUUACCGGCACGGCCCUGUCUACAAACACCUCCUCUGUAGGAGCGUGAGGAGGAAGGACCUCUGCAGACCUGGGAGGGAGUCAUCGGGGCAGAUCCCGGCUCUUCCUUCCUGGGCUGGCUGGGGCCCGUCACCCCCCGCCUGGCUCCAGGAGGGCGCUCAUGAUGGGAAUGACACCAGGCCAGGUUUCCCGGUGACCAGGAAGCCUUUCUAAGAGGAACUCGAGGCCCAGGGAGCACAGCAGGAAUGUGACCUCAAGACCAGCACCUCCAGAGCCAGACCUGCCCCCCGAGCUCCUCCCAAAGGCCAGGCCCGAGGCAUCAUGCGGCCCAGCACGCAACAGUGUCUGGCACAGAGCAGGCACUCAAUAAAUGCUUUCUGACUGAC
This is a long non-coding RNA of Antechinus flavipes (yellow-footed antechinus), 1789 nucleotides long. RefSeq lists it as uncharacterized. Lineage: Eukaryota; Metazoa; Chordata; Mammalia; Dasyuromorphia; Dasyuridae. The record is from RefSeq and is a predicted model, not a curated record. The transcript has 2 exons.